UGUGGGAGCUGGCUUGCCUGCGAUGGCGGUGUGUCAGUCGAUAUCUGCCUUGACUGAAUGAACGUUAUCGCAGGCAAGCCAGCUCCCACA
Molecule: non-coding RNA, 90 nt
Filed under: Pseudomonas tolaasii NCPPB 2192
Lineage: Bacteria; Pseudomonadati; Pseudomonadota; Gammaproteobacteria; Pseudomonadales; Pseudomonadaceae
Source: RNAcentral